This 22-nucleotide microRNA is filed under the name Drosophila melanogaster (fruit fly). Its description in RNAcentral is "dme-miR-4958-5p". Lineage: Eukaryota; Metazoa; Arthropoda; Insecta; Diptera; Drosophilidae. The record is from miRBase by way of RNAcentral.
GGGAUCUGGAACGGGCUCUGGU